This 253-nucleotide ribosomal RNA is filed under the name uncultured bacterium. Its description in RNAcentral is "partial 16S ribosomal RNA". It matches the Rfam family "Bacterial small subunit ribosomal RNA", at positions 524 to 776 of the family's 1533-position model. The record is from RNAcentral.
UACGUAGGGCGCAAGCGUUGUCCGGAAUUAUUGGGCGUAAAGAGCUCGUAGGCGGUCUGUUACGUCUGCUGUGAAAACCCGGGGCUUAACCCCGGGCUUGCAGUGGAUACGGGCAGGCUAGAGGCAGGUAGGGGAGAGUGGAAUUCCCGGUGUAGCGGUGAAAUGCGCAGAUAUCGGGAGGAACACCGGUGGCGAAGGCGUUUCUCUGGGCCUGACCUGACGCUGAGGAGCGAAAGCGUGGGGAGCGAACAGG